CCUACGGGUGGCAGCAGUGAGGAAUAUUGGUCAAUGGGCGAAAGUCUGAACCAGCCAAGCCGCGUGAGGGAGUAUUGCCUUAUGGGUUGUAAACUCUUUUUGUCGGGGAGCAAAAUCCGGACGUGUGCGGCUGUGAGAGUACCUGAAGAAAAAGCAUCGGCUAACUCCGUGCCAGCAGCCGCGGUAAUACGGGGGAUGCGAGCGUUAUCCGGAUUUAUUGGGUUUAAAGGGUGCGCAGGCGGAUUUUUAAGUCAGCGGUCAAAUCGUGGCGCUAAACCCCAACCAGCCGUUGAUACUGGGGAGCGAGAGUGUGGGAGAGGGAUGCGGAAUGCGUGGUGUAGCGGUGAAAUGCAUAGAUAUCGCGCAGAACCCCGAUUGCGAAGGCAGCAUACCGGUGAACAACUGACGCUGAGGCACGAAAGCGUGGGUAUCGAACAGGAUUAGAUACCCUAGUAGUC
Molecule: ribosomal RNA, 458 nt
Filed under: uncultured bacterium
Lineage: Bacteria
Description: partial 16S ribosomal RNA
Rfam family: Bacterial small subunit ribosomal RNA
Source: RNAcentral